RNAcentral lists this ribosomal RNA (2905 nucleotides) under Yersinia enterocolitica. Its description in RNAcentral is "bacterial LSU rRNA". It matches the Rfam family "Bacterial large subunit ribosomal RNA". The record is from RNAcentral. Lineage: Bacteria; Pseudomonadati; Pseudomonadota; Gammaproteobacteria; Enterobacterales; Yersiniaceae.
UUAAGCGACUAAGCGUACACGGUGGAUGCCUAGGCAGUCAGAGGCGAUGAAGGGCGUGCUAAUCUGCGAAAAGCGUCGGUAAGGUGAUAUGAACCGUUACAACCGACGAUACCCGAAUGGGGAAACCCAGUGCAAUUCGUUGCACUAUUGCAUGGUGAAUACAUAGCCAUGCAAGGCGAACCGGGGGAACUGAAACAUCUAAGUACCCCGAGGAAAAGAAAUCAACCGAGAUUCCCCCAGUAGCGGCGAGCGAACGGGGAGGAGCCCAGAACCUGAAUCAGCAUAUGUGUUAGUGGAAGCGUCUGGAAAGUCGCACGGUACAGGGUGAUAGUCCCGUACACAAAAAUGCAUAUGUUGUGAGUUCGAUGAGUAGGGCGGGACACGUGACAUCCUGUCUGAAUAUGGGGGGACCAUCCUCCAAGGCUAAAUACUCCUGACUGACCGAUAGUGAACCAGUACCGUGAGGGAAAGGCGAAAAGAACCCCGGCGAGGGGAGUGAAAUAGAACCUGAAACCGUGUACGUACAAGCAGUGGGAGCACCUUCGUGGUGUGACUGCGUACCUUUUGUAUAAUGGGUCAGCGACUUAUAUUUUGUAGCAAGGUUAACCGAAUAGGGGAGCCGUAGGGAAACCGAGUCUUAACUGGGCGAAUAGUUGCAAGGUAUAGACCCGAAACCCGGUGAUCUAGCCAUGGGCAGGUUGAAGGUUGGGUAACACUAACUGGAGGACCGAACCGACUAAUGUUGAAAAAUUAGCGGAUGACUUGUGGCUGGGGGUGAAAGGCCAAUCAAACCGGGAGAUAGCUGGUUCUCCCCGAAAGCUAUUUAGGUAGCGCCUCGUGAACUCAUCUUCGGGGGUAGAGCACUGUUUCGGCUAGGGGGUCAUCCCGACUUACCAAACCGAUGCAAACUCCGAAUACCGAAGAAUGUUAUCACGGGAGACACACGGCGGGUGCUAACGUCCGUCGUGAAGAGGGAAACAACCCAGACCGCCAGCUAAGGUCCCAAAGUCAUGGUUAAGUGGGAAACGAUGUGGGAAGGCAUAGACAGCCAGGAUGUUGGCUUAGAAGCAGCCAUCAUUUAAAGAAAGCGUAAUAGCUCACUGGUCGAGUCGGCCUGCGCGGAAGAUGUAACGGGGCUAAACCAUGCACCGAAGCUGCGGCAGCGACGCUUAGGCGUUGUUGGGUAGGGGAGCGUUCUGUAAGCCGUUGAAGGUGACCUGUGAGGGUUGCUGGAGGUAUCAGAAGUGCGAAUGCUGACAUAAGUAACGAUAAUGCGGGUGAAAAACCCGCACGCCGGAAGACCAAGGGUUCCUGUCCAACGUUAAUCGGGGCAGGGUGAGUCGACCCCUAAGGCGAGGCUGAAAAGCGUAGUCGAUGGGAAACAGGUUAAUAUUCCUGUACUUGGUGUUACUGCGAAGGGGGGACGGAGAAGGCUAGGCUAGCCGGGCGACGGUUGUCCCGGUUUAAGCAUGUAGGCGGAGUGACUUGGUAAAUCCGGUUGCUUAUCAACGCUGAGGUGUGAUGACGAGUCACUACGGUGAUGAAGUAGUUGAUGCCAAGCUUCCAGGAAAAGCCUCUAAGCAUCAGGUAACAUUAAAUCGUACCCCAAACCGACACAGGUGGUCAGGUAGAGAAUACUCAGGCGCUUGAGAGAACUCGGGUGAAGGAACUAGGCAAAAUGGUGCCGUAACUUCGGGAGAAGGCACGCUGGCAUUAGGUAAAGGGACUUGCUCCCGGCGCCGAAGCCAGUCGCAGAUACCAGCUGGCUGCAACUGUUUAAUAAAAACACAGCACUGUGCAAACACGAAAGUGGACGUAUACGGUGUGACGCCUGCCCGGUGCUGGAAGGUUAAUUGAUGGGGUCAGCCGCAAGGCGAAGCUCUUGAUCGAAGCCCCAGUAAACGGCGGCCGUAACUAUAACGGUCCUAAGGUAGCGAAAUUCCUUGUCGGGUAAGUUCCGACCUGCACGAAUGGCGUAAUGAUGGCCAGGCUGUCUCCACCCGAGACUCAGUGAAAUUGAACUCGCUGUGAAGAUGCAGUGUACCCGCGGCAAGACGGAAAGACCCCGUGAACCUUUACUAUAGCUUGACACUGAACAUUGAGCCUUGAUGUGUAGGAUAGGUGGGAGGCAUUGAAGUGUGGACGCCAGUCUGCAUGGAGCCAACCUUGAAAUACCACCCUUUAAUGUUUGAUGUUCUAACUCGGCCCCAUAAUCUGGGGUGAGGACAGUGUCUGGUGGGUAGUUUGACUGGGGCGGUCUCCUCCCAAAGAGUAACGGAGGAGCACGAAGGUUAGCUAAUCACGGUCGGACAUCGUGAGGUUAGUGCAAAGGCAUAAGCUAGCUUGACUGCGAGAGUGACGGCUCGAGCAGGUACGAAAGUAGGUCUUAGUGAUCCGGUGGUUCUGAAUGGAAGGGCCAUCGCUCAACGGAUAAAAGGUACUCCGGGGAUAACAGGCUGAUACCGCCCAAGAGUUCAUAUCGACGGCGGUGUUUGGCACCUCGAUGUCGGCUCAUCACAUCCUGGGGCUGAAGUAGGUCCCAAGGGUAUGGCUGUUCGCCAUUUAAAGUGGUACGCGAGCUGGGUUUAGAACGUCGUGAGACAGUUCGGUCCCUAUCUGCCGUGGGCGUUGGAAGAUUGAGAGGGGCUGCUCCUAGUACGAGAGGACCGGAGUGGACGAAUCACUGGUGUUCGGGUUGUCAUGCCAAUGGCAUUGCCCGGUAGCUAAAUUCGGAAGAGAUAACCGCUGAAAGCAUCUAAGCGGGAAACUUGCCUCGAGAUGAGUCUUCCCUGGGGCUUUAAGCCCCCUGAAGGAACGUUAAAGACUAUGACGUUGAUAGGCUGGGUGUGUAAGUGCAGCGAUGCAUUGAGCUAACCAGUACUAAUGAUCCGUGAGGCUUAACCUU